This 229-nucleotide ribosomal RNA is filed under the name uncultured bacterium. RNAcentral's name for it is "partial 16S ribosomal RNA". It matches the Rfam family "Bacterial small subunit ribosomal RNA", at positions 568 to 796 of the family's 1533-position model. The record is from RNAcentral.
UCCGUAGGCGGGUAAUUAAGUCAGAGGUGAAAUCCCACAGCUUAACUGUGGAACUGCCUUAGAUACUGGUUAUCUUGAGUUUUAGUGAAGUAGAUAGAAUGUGUAGUGUAGCGGUGAAAUGCAUAGAUAUUACACAGAAUACCGAUUGCGAAGGCAGUCUACUAACUAACAACUGACGCUAAUGGACGAAAGCGUGGGCAGCGAACAGGAUUAGAUACCCUGGUAGUCC